UGAACAGGAAGACUCACCCUGACCGCCAGCCAAUACCCAGAGUACAGGAUAUCAUGGACAGCCUUGGAGAAAAUUCCUGGUUUUCACCCUUGGAUCAGGGACAAGCAUAUCACUAGGGGUUCAUGGAAAAGGAAAGCAGCCUUUGUGACCCCAUCGAGCCUGUAUGAGUGGGUUUGUUUUCAGUAUGGACUCAUGGAUGCACCAACAGCCUUCCAGCGCUUAAUGGAGGAAUGUUUGGAUGGCUUGAGAGAUGAGAUCUGUGUCCCGUAUCUGGACAACACCCUCGUCUUCAGCAAGAACUUUGAGAUCCAUGUCAACUAUUUUAGAAAAGUACUACAGAGACUAAGAGAAUAUGGGAAAAAGCUGAAGCCCAGCAAGUAUCUAUCCCCUGCCUUUCGACACAGUGAACCAUCAGAUCCUCCGCUCCACCCUCUCAGGGCUGGGUGUCUCAGGCUCUGCACACUCUUGGAUAACAUCCUACCUGGCAGGCCGCUCCUACCAGUUUCCCGUGUGUAUCAACAAGGGUCCACCACCCAAAGGACAUCCAGCCAACAACUGUGGCAAGCAUUAGAGUCAACGUGGGCCAGCAUCUCUUUGGAAUGCUUUCGACACCUUGUAGAAUCAUGUGUUAACACAGUACACAAACAUGGAGUACAUAUAUAGUGCCAGGAGAACUGUCUGCUGAUGAGAAGGUGGCCUGGUUACAGGGUAAAUGGAAACAAGAUGUGGCGGCCCCGCACUCCUUUGAAGGUGUUCCACACCAUACCUCUGAAUCUGUGGAGGAGAAUUUAGACCUUUUCCAAGAAGGCCUGAUGAAAGAGUUACCCGGACGACUGACCCUCCUUCCAGAGAAACUUGGGUCAUCACAUGGCUGAGAUAGGACUCUGCCAAGGAGCUUCACAACAACCUACUCCACAUUUCACCCACAUCACUCCCUUGAACCAACACAUCUUUAGUAACUCAACAUAAGAUAUAUGGCAUGUGUGUUCCAAGAACAGAGAGAGAGUCUGGUCAAUCUCAAGUAAUGACACAGAGGAAAAUAUUAUUAAUUUCUAAGAUGGAUGGAUGUCAAUAAACCAGAUGCUUUUGUACAUGUAAUAUUGAACAGUAACCUUCCAUAAAACCAUAUAUUUCCUGGUAGACCUGAGUAAAAUAAGUUAAACCUUGAGAACUACUUGAGAACUCAAAAUGAUUCGUUAUGCCUCACAAUCAGGGGCGAAAAUCUGAUAUCCACUUUGGAGGGGACAAUUACAUGAAAUUUUCUCAAGAACAAUUCCUGAGGGGGACACCAAAAGUAGUGCUGUAACACAUAGCCUACAUUGUAAUAUGGUAAAUGUAUAUUGAGGAACCAAAGAAAUAAGGUGUUUGCCGUACUCCUAACUACCGGUACCCAAAACUACACAACUAAUCACAACAGCAAUACCAUUGCCUUUAACAAAUCUUAGUUCAGUCACCAGUUUAAGUUGAGAGUGGGGGUAUCCAUGGCAUUUUCCAAUUAUGUUCCUAUUUUACAAGUAAAAAAAAUUGAGAACCUUUCAUAAUGUUGCCAAACAAAGACUCAACAAACUUACCUGAGACUCCCUGUCUCUGCCAGUCUGUCCCUGCAUAUCUGUCCCCAACUCUGCUGUCUGUGUGCCAUCUGUUGCCUGCUCUGCCUAAUGACAUCAUUGUGAAACACAUUUACAUUUACAUUUAAGUCAUUUCCAUUAGAAUUUCAUUUCUUUCUUAUGAACAUUUUAUCAACUAGACUUUGAGAUAUUAGGCUACUAGGGUUCUUACUAUGCGUUUUGGUGUAUUGAAAAAUACCCUGAUGUCCGUCUUUUAUUUUUCUGCCAUUUUUCUACCUGGCUGGCUGGCUACACACACACACACAGUGUGUAGGUUAUUUACAGUAGGAGAUGGGCUUCUAUCAUCUUCAAACAUUCUAUAUGGGCUUCGAUCUAAAAGGUAGCUAGCAAAUGUGAAACGGAUUAAAAUGACAAGAGUUGACAGCUGUAUGAGUUCACCAUUUACACAACAUAUGCUGCAACCUUUCGUAAUUUUAACAGUUUGUUUCAUAUUGGCUGGCUUCCAACAAUAGCUGAAUUUGCAAAGCUAGUGAGCACCAAUUCAGUUUCAGUGGUGUUUGCUAUAAUCUUUGCUACCAGGGUUAAAUAAAAGUGAAAUAAAAUAAAUAAAUAAAAGUUCCCUUGCGACAAUUUAGCUUUUGCAACGAGACCAUUAAAUAUAUUUAAGACAAUGGUAGAAGAGAGUGUAGUUCUGUUCAGUUUGGACUUCAGUUUAUCGCUAACCUUAUCACAGGGACUUUGAAGCACUAACUUACAUCAUCUGCAUGCUGAUUCCAUCUUUGACGACGCCACAUAAAUGGAAUAGGUACUAGCUAGCUUAAUAGUUAAUAUUUGCGUGCUAGCUCUGCAUAUUCAGCUAGUGUGUGUGUGCGCGAUUGACUGGAUGAACCUCACGGCAGUUACGUAGCAAGCUAAGGAACUGGCAGUGGAUCAAACCAUUGUGAGGCAAAGGGCGGGGGGGUCGCAAUCUUUUGAAACUUAAAAACGCGCUAUUAAGUGUCUAUAAUCAGCACAAUUGCUUUCAUUGCGUAUUAUUAAUAUUAUUUAAAUUACAUAGUUAUGUUUCAGUGAUAUAUUGGGGGGGGAUAAAUCAUAUUUUUCCCAGGAUGGGGGGGUCGUGUCCCCCCCCGUCCCCCCCGGGAUUUCUGCCCCUGCUCACAAUUACCAUUAAAAUCAAAUCAUAUUUUAUUAAUCACAUAAUUCAUAAACAACAGGUGUAGACUAACAGUGGAAUUCUUACUUAUGGGCCCUUACCAACAAUGCAGAGAGAGAGAAAAUAGAGAAAUGAUAGCAAAGUUACAGCACAUAAUAAUCAAAGUAAUAAUAAAUUGUCACGUUGUCUAAUUAUUGGAGACAGGCGCAGGAAUACUAAUAGGUUUUUUUAUUUUCUCCAUCCAAACAGAAGAGCGAGGUGGAAACCUCUAAAUAAUACACGGGACGAGACCCGUAAAACAAGUGCACAAUAACAUGUAUCAUGGAAGCCAAUACAAUAGCACAGGUACUCACAGGACCAACGGAAAUGGGGAACAGAGGGCACAUAAACUCAGCAAAAAAAACCACCCCUUUUUCAGGACUCUGUCUUUCAAAGAUAAUUCGUAAAAAUCCAAAUAACUUCACAGAUCUUCAUUAUAAAGGGUUUAAACACUGUUUCCCAUGCCAGUUCUUUGAACCAUAAACAAUUAAUGAACAUGCACCUGUGGUCCUUAAGACUUAAGACGGUAGGCAAUUAAGGUCACGGUUGUGAAAACUUAGGACACUAAAGAGGCCUUUCUACGGACUCUGAAAAACACCAAAAGAAAGUUGCCCAGGGUCCCUGCUCAUCUGCCUGAACGUGCCUUUUGACCCUCCCUUUGUUCAGGGACACAUUAUUCAAUUUCUGUUAGUCACAUGUCUGUGGAA
This 3467-nucleotide long non-coding RNA is filed under the name Salmo salar (Atlantic salmon). RNAcentral's name for it is "lncRNA (ENSSSAG00000089461.1)". Lineage: Eukaryota; Metazoa; Chordata; Actinopteri; Salmoniformes; Salmonidae. The record is from RNAcentral.